AUCACUUCUUGGCCUUUUGGCUAAGAUCAAGUGUAGAAAUUAACCUCUCAGACGGAAAAAAAAAUGAUAGGUUAAUAAAAAUAUUUUUGGGGGGUCAGAAUUCAG
Molecule: small nuclear RNA, 105 nt
Gene: U2
Rfam family: U2 spliceosomal RNA
About the family: U2 is a small nuclear RNA (snRNA) component of the spliceosome (involved in pre-mRNA splicing). Complementary binding between U2 snRNA (in an area lying towards the 5' end but 3' to hairpin I) and the branchpoint sequence (BPS) of the intron results the bulging out of an unpaired adenosine, on the BPS, which initiates a nucleophilic attack at the intronic 5' splice site, thus starting the first of two transesterification reactions that mediate splicing.
Source: Ensembl